Long non-coding RNA from Lolium rigidum, 2759 nucleotides. RefSeq lists it as uncharacterized. Lineage: Eukaryota; Viridiplantae; Streptophyta; Magnoliopsida; Poales; Poaceae. The record is from RefSeq and is a predicted model, not a curated record. The transcript has 6 exons.
AAGGCGCUCUUGCAAACUACCCGAUGCCAGGAACCCUGAAGGUGCCCCUUUCCUCCUUCCCCUCCUCGUCGCCUCUCCUUGCUCCGCCGCCAUCAGAUCUCCUCUUCCCCAAUUCUCCCCCUGUUUCGGCUCGUUGUCCAGACGAUGGGGGCUCAAAUCCCAUGCCAUGGGCCGACUGAGGAAGGUGGAGAGGAGGCGACAUCGUCCAACGCGAUGGUAACGACGUUCGAGCGGCCAUCCUCCUAUCCCCUACCCAGCAGCGCUGGUGGUGUGGACCGAGGCUGCGGUAGGAGGAGGAGCACUCACACCUGGAAAUAGCUACCUCGUGGUGGCUUGCUCACGGGGGCGCGGCGGGUCCAGUGCUAGGUGGAGGAUGAGGAGGAGUGUGGCCUCGCCUAGAGUUGAUGAGUAGGAGCACCCGUCUUGGAGGUUGUCUCCGACGCACGCGUGCAGGUAUUCGUGCAGGAGAAGGAGAGCAUGGUUGCAGAUGUCAGUGCAUCGAGAGCCAUAGCCAAUGGUGGCGAGGCGGAGCAUGGAAGUGGCACAUUCAUGGCAGUUGAGCCCUCUCUCUCUCUCGGGUGCUCUCGCAUGCGCUGCCCUUCCAUUGCCGAUGUAGUCCGGACCAAGAAUCAGGGCAAGGGCGUGGACAGGCGGCGGUUCUCUUACCAGCGGCGUGUGGUGGUGGACGCAGGCUUAGGGAUGAACGGGUGUAGCGCUGCGAUGGACGGAGCGACACCGGCCACACCGAGCUAGACGACACGGGCCGAGCUAGACGGCACGAGGCGACAUCGACACCUGACAUCCAUGUUGCCCUGCAUCGUCUCAUUGGAUCCCAGAUGGCGGUGUGGUUUUGAAAAGUCUUGUCUCGCUUGAUAUGCUUGGAAGUUUUUAAUUGUUAUGGAAAACCUAUUGAUAAUGGUCCCCCAAUUUUGCCAGAGGCCUACAUGGACAUCACUGGCUAAAAAGACCUUGGCUAACUAAUUGCUCUUUCAGUCUGGAAAUUCAUAUAUGAUGCUCACAAAUUGUAGAUUUCGUCAAGGCUGCUCACAUAUUCAGUAUGCAAUUACCACCGAUGCGUGAACUGGAAUUCAAAAUACUAUUCAAAACUGGUAGCUGUGAACCGGAAUUCCAGGCCAUUACCUGGUACCUCAGCCUGUGGCAUGAAACGAGGGAUGAAUAAAUUUUGCAAGAGUGCAUGGACCAGAGUCCUACCGGAAGCACCCACUAAUGCAUCCAUGGUUAGUUAUCACCCAAUCUCGAUUAUCCAGAAAUCUAAUAUGACAGAUGUGUAGCCUCUUUCUGAUAUGGAGCUAGGAAGUAGGCAAUGGCUAAUUUUUGUUCGCAUUUCGUGGGCGUGGUUGAUGAUGCAUACGGAUUUAGUGGUUCUACGAGUUGUGGCUAGCUGUGUCCGGUCAAGGUAUCAGCGGAGUCAGUGGGUGGAAAAGACUGCGAUGAAGUGUGAGGCAGCAGCAGUGUUGGUGGUAACUUGGUCUUGCAGAACGCACAUACUCUUCCGUGAUCCGCUGCAACUUGAAGUGCGGUGUAGUCAUGCUAGACCACAAUGCUGCAAUUAUAUCUCUGAUUUAAGCACCACCAAGGUCAGCUCCAACAAGCUUAAUGUUCAUUUUAUCUUGGCAACAGUGAAUCACAAAGGUGAUGUCAUAACCCAUGCCAUCAGCACCACCAGCCGCAUUGUGCUGCCAAAAUAAAGUAAUUUGGCAGCACCUCUUUUUGCAAAGAACAUGUUUUCACUUGUCUCUUUGGUACCAUCCCUUUAUUGCUAUUAGAACUAGCUUUGUUGCUAUGUUUUUUAUUUUAGAUGUUUAAUAGGGAUGAUUUAAUAUUGUGAUGCUCGACAAAUUAUGAGUUUUACAUUACAGAAGUGUUGCGGCUCUUAAAAGUAGAGUAUGUCAGUAGUACAACUGUAUCCAUCACAGUAGGAACUUUGAGAGGUAUAUAUUAGCAAUAACAUGAGCUCUUAUAGGUUUUUGUUGCUUCUGAUCAGAUGAAUGGUAUAAUAACCAACUUAGUUCGAAUCAAGGUUGCUAUCUUGCUUAUCUCUUACCAGAUUAGCUACCAGUGCUUUUUUAUUUCUAUUUUUAAGUCGCUUGGCAUGUGCAAGAUGAUUGCUAUGAUUAAUUCUUAGUCCCAUGCUUAUAGAAAUGUAUGUCAUUUCAACAUAACAUCGUGAUGGUGUCAUAUCUACCAUAUUUUUGCCCUAGGUUAGCUGUGUUUCUACAUUCAAAUAAAAGAACAGCUGAAACCUGAAGGAAAUAAAUAAUGCUUAUAGAAAUUUAUGUCAUUUCAACAUAACAUCGAGAUUGUGUCAUAUCUAACAUAUUUUUUUCCCUGGAUUAGCUGUGUUUCUACAUUCAAAUAAAAGAACAGCUGAAACCUAAGGAAAUAAAUAAUAGAUUGAACCUCAUUGUCCUAGGUUAGUUGUAUGGUUGGUGCCAUGGUUGUCCAAGAACCGGGUAUUUACUUAGUUUCCUCCUAAUAUUUGACCCUCAUUUGUGGAUAUUAUAUUCUCUAUCUGGCAAUGUAAUUGGACUUUAUGUAUCAGUUUUUAUGACUUGUGUACAUCACCUCUGUUGUUCCAGCUUUCUUGAUUCUUUCAGGCCCAGCUGCCGACCUUGUUUUCUGUGUGGGCACCUUUUGUCAUUGUACACCAGAAGCGCCAUUAGCUCGAUCUAUGCUUAUUAGUUCAAGCAUCGUUUCAACCUUGUAUGUAAAGUGAACUUGUGUAACCAUUGUUACUG